GAUGUCCGUAUACACUUGGUCACUGCGGUUUAGUACUGAACGAACCAUCUUUGUUUAUCCAAGGAUACUUCUUACACGGCCUAAAAACUGUCUAAAGCUGACCUUUACGGUUGAACGGUUUCUGGUAAACUAUUUAUCGUAUAAAAGCAUUUGAGAAGUGUCUUAUAUCACACCUAGAGUUACUUCAGUUUCAGUUGGUCGUCCCAAGAGAAAUACAGUAAAAUGCCUGCCCCCUGCGAACCAAGCAAAGAUACGUGCAAGGAGGGAGCUGCCUGCAAGGACGACUGCUCUUGUGAGGACAACUGCUCUGACUGCUCUACGAAACCAGGUGGAUGCUGUUAAACAUGAACUGGACCAUGGUAUCAUCUGCUUGUCCUUCGAUUUCAGCUGUUCACAGUAAUAAUAUUAGUUAAAUGUAUAAUAUUUAUUCCUGAAAUAAAGUUAGUGGUGCCCAUUUAA
Molecule: long non-coding RNA, 459 nt
Organism: Cydia splendana
Lineage: Eukaryota; Metazoa; Arthropoda; Insecta; Lepidoptera; Tortricidae
Exons: 3
Source: RefSeq, a predicted model, not a curated record